Molecule: transfer RNA, 70 nt
Filed under: Pantoea phage vB_PagS_AAS21
Lineage: Duplodnaviria; Heunggongvirae; Uroviricota; Caudoviricetes; Demerecviridae
Rfam family: tRNA
About the family: Transfer RNA (tRNA) molecules are approximately 80 nucleotides in length. Their secondary structure includes four short double-helical elements and three loops (D, anti-codon, and T loops).
Source: Rfam by way of RNAcentral
UGCUUCAUAGCUCAACGGUAGAGCACUAGGCGCAGCCGAAUGGUUACUGGUUCAAAUCCAGUUGAAGCAA